RNAcentral lists this non-coding RNA (112 nucleotides) under pig gut metagenome. RNAcentral describes it as "FMN riboswitch (RFN element)". It matches the Rfam family "FMN riboswitch aptamer (RFN element)". From Rfam's summary of the family: The RFN element is a highly conserved domain that is found frequently in the 5'-untranslated regions of prokaryotic mRNAs that encode for flavin mononucleotide (FMN) biosynthesis and transport proteins. This element is a metabolite-dependent riboswitch that directly binds FMN in the absence of proteins. The record is from RNAcentral.
AUCUUCAGGGCAGGGUGAAAUUCCCUACCGGCGGUAAAGCCCGCGACCCGUGCACGCACGGCUGAUCCGGUGGAACUCCGGAGCCGACAGUAUAGUCUGGAUGAAAGAAGAU